This 470-nucleotide ribosomal RNA is filed under the name uncultured bacterium. RNAcentral's name for it is "bacterial SSU rRNA". It matches the Rfam family "Bacterial small subunit ribosomal RNA", at positions 8 to 524 of the family's 1533-position model. The record is from RNAcentral.
AGAGUUUGAUCCUGGCUCAGAACGAACGCUGGCGGCAGGCCUAAAACAUGCAAGUCGAACGAUGUAGCAAUACAUAGUGGCGCACGGGUGCGUAACGCGUGGGAACAUACCCUUUGGUGCGGAACAACGUCUGGAAACGGACGCUAAUACCGCAUAAUAUCUACGGAUCAAAGAUUUAUCGCCAAGGGAUUGGCCCGCGUCUGAUUAGCUAGUUGGUGAGGUAAUGGCUCACCAAGGCGACGAUCAGUAGCUGGUCUGAGAGGAUGAUCAGCCACACUGGGACUGAGACACGGCCCAGACUCCUACGGGAGGCAGCAGUUAGGAAUAUUGGACAAUGGGCGAAAGCCUGAUCCAGCCAUGCCGCGUGUGUGACGAAGGCCUUAGGGUUGUAAAGCACUUUCGUCUGUGAAGAUAAUGACAGUAGCAGAAGAAGAAGCUCCGGCUAAAUUCGUGCCAGCAGCCGCGGUAAU